Molecule: ribosomal RNA, 467 nt
Filed under: uncultured bacterium
Lineage: Bacteria
Description: partial 16S ribosomal RNA
Rfam family: Bacterial small subunit ribosomal RNA
Source: RNAcentral
GACGAACGCUGGCGGCGUGCUUAACACAUGCAAGUCGAACGGAAAGGCCCUGCUUUUGUGGGGUGCUCGAGUGGCGAACGGGUGAGUAACACGUGAGUAACCUGCCCUUGACUUUGGGAUAACUUCAGGAAACUGGGGCUAAUACCGGAUAGGAGCUCCUGCUGCAUGGUGGGGGUUGGAAAGUUUCGGCGGUUGGGGAUGGACUCGCGGCUUAUCAGCUUGUUGGUGGGGUAGUGGCUUACCAAGGCUUUGACGGGUAGCCGGCCUGAGAGGGUGACCGGCCACAUUGGGACGGAGAUACGGCCCAGACUCCUACGGGGGGCAGCAGUGGGGAAUAUUGCACAAUGGGCGGAAGCCUGAUGCAGCAACGCCGCGUGCGGGAUGACGGCCUUCGGGUUGUAAACCGCUUUCGCCUGUGACGAAGCGUGAGUGACGGUAAUGGGUAAAGAAGCACCGGCUAACUACGU